This 87-nucleotide unclassified non-coding RNA is filed under the name Pseudomonas sp. bs2935. The record is from RNAcentral. Lineage: Bacteria; Pseudomonadati; Pseudomonadota; Gammaproteobacteria; Pseudomonadales; Pseudomonadaceae.
GUGGGAGCGGGCUUGCUCGCGAAUGCGGUGUGUCAGUCAAUGCAUCUUUAGCUGAUCCACCGCAUUCGCGAGCAAGCCCGCUCCCAC